UUGGAGGGCAAGUCUGGUGCCAGCAGCCGCGGUAGUUCCAGCUCCAAUAGCGUAUAUUAAAGUUGUUGCAGUUAAAAAGCUCGUAGUUGAAUUUCGGGAUCAAUAUGUCGGUCGUGCUUUUGGUGUGUACUGGCAUCAUUGGUUUCUCCCUUCUGACAAACCAUGAUGUCAUUAAUUUGGUGUUAUGGGGAGUUAGGACUGUUACUUUGAAAAAAUUAGAGUGUUUAAAGCAGGCAUUAGCUUGAAUACAUUAGCAUGGAAUAAUGAAAUAGGACGUUUGACCCUACUUUGUUGGUUUCUAGGAUCGACGUAAUGAUUAAUAGGGAUAGUUGGGGGCAUUAGUAUUCAAUUGUCAGAGGUGAAAUUCUUGGAUUUAUUGAAGACUAACUACUGCGAAAGCAUUUGCCAAGGAUGUUUUCAUUAAUCAAGAACGAAAGUUAGGGGAUCGAAGACGAUCAGAUACCGUCGUAGUCUUAACCAUAAACUAUGCCGACUAGGGAUCGGAUGAUGUUAAUUUUUUAAUGACUCAUUCGGCGCCUUACGGGAAAC
RNAcentral lists this ribosomal RNA (549 nucleotides) under uncultured Glomeromycotina. RNAcentral's name for it is "SSU rRNA". It matches the Rfam family "Eukaryotic small subunit ribosomal RNA", at positions 548 to 1098 of the family's 1831-position model. Lineage: Eukaryota; Fungi; Glomeromycota. The record is from RNAcentral.